Molecule: ribosomal RNA, 434 nt
Filed under: uncultured bacterium
Lineage: Bacteria
Description: partial 16S ribosomal RNA
Rfam family: Bacterial small subunit ribosomal RNA
Source: RNAcentral
GGGCUUCGGCCUGGCGGCGAGUGGCGAACGGGUGAGUAAUGCAUCGGAACGUGCCCAUGUCGUGGGGGAUAACGUAUCGAAAGGUACGCUAAUACCGCAUACGCCCUGAGGGGGAAAGCGGGGGAUUCUUCGAAACCUCGCGCGAUUGGAGCGGCCGAUGUCANAUUAUCUAAUGGGUGAGGUAAAGGCUCCCCUGCGAGACUAUCCGUAGCGGGUCAGAGAGGAUGAUCCCCCACUCUGGGACUGAGACACGGCCCACACUCCUACGGGAGGCAGCAGUGGGAAAUUUUGGACAGGGGGGGCAACCCUGAUCCACCCGUGCCGCGUGAGUGAAAAAGGCCUUCGGUUUGUAAAUCUCUUUCCGCCGGGAAAAAAUCGGGCUCUCUAACAUACGCUGUGGAUGACGGUCCCGGACUAAAAAGCCCCGGCUAUCU